UUUUCUACAAAUCGGAAUGACCUGAAAUUUGGAGCGUGUGUUCAUCACAAAUAAGGGAAUCUACUAAAAAUGUCAAAAAAAUAUUUUACAUGAAAAAGAUUGACCAAAAUACCCCCGAAAAGUUUUAGGGGUAUUUUGGUCAAUUUUGUUUACGAAUUAUGUUUUUCAUAUUUUUAUUUCGUGCGCCUCACUAAGAUGUACAUACACUCCAAAUUUCAGAUAAUUCCGAUUUGUAGAAAA
RNAcentral lists this microRNA precursor (240 nucleotides) under Amborella trichopoda. RNAcentral describes it as "MIR8562 microRNA precursor family". It matches the Rfam family "MIR8562 microRNA precursor family". The record is from Rfam by way of RNAcentral. Lineage: Eukaryota; Viridiplantae; Streptophyta; Magnoliopsida; Amborellales; Amborellaceae.